Molecule: ribosomal RNA, 445 nt
Filed under: uncultured bacterium
Lineage: Bacteria
Description: bacterial SSU rRNA
Rfam family: Bacterial small subunit ribosomal RNA
Source: RNAcentral
UCCAGACUCCUACGGGAGGCAGCAGUGGGGAAUAUUGCACAAUGGGGGAAACCCUGAUGCAGCGACGCCGCGUGAGUGAAGAAGUAUUUCGGUAUGUAAAGCUCUAUCAGCAGGGAAGAAAAUGACGGUACCUGACUAAGAAGCCCCGGCUAACUACGUGCCAGCAGCCGCGGUAAUACGUAGGGGGCAAGCGUUAUCCGGAUUUACUGGGUGUAAAGGGAGCGUAGACGGCAUGGCAAGUCAGAUGUGAAAGCCCGGGGCUCAACCCCAGGACUGCAUUUGAAACUGUCAGGCUGGAGUGCAGGAGAGGUAAGUGGAAUUCCUAGUGUAGCGGUGAAAUGCGUAGAUAUUAGGAGGAACACCAGUGGCGAAGGCGGUCUGCUGGACAGCAACUGACGCUGAGGCGCGAAAGCGUGGGGAGCAAACAGGAUUAGAUACCCGUGUA